UAAGAGUUGGACGGUUAAUGAGAGGUAGCC
Molecule: non-coding RNA, 30 nt
Filed under: Homo sapiens (human)
Lineage: Eukaryota; Metazoa; Chordata; Mammalia; Primates; Hominidae
Source: RNAcentral